Molecule: long non-coding RNA, 446 nt
Organism: Arabidopsis lyrata subsp. lyrata
Lineage: Eukaryota; Viridiplantae; Streptophyta; Magnoliopsida; Brassicales; Brassicaceae
Exons: 3
Source: RefSeq, a predicted model, not a curated record
AACAGGAAACUUCCUCCAACCGUUCUCGCAUCCGACGAGGAUUCUCUUUCUUUCCUCCAACCGUUCAUUUGCCUUCGACAAGCAGCAAGAAACUUCAAGAUCUGUAACGAAAGCUUCUCCCUUUUUCCUCAUAUUUAGAUUAAUCAAUUCUUAAAUUGAUUAAUUCCGUUGUUGUUCCAGGUAAUAGAAGAUCUGCGUUCAGUUAAUCAAUCUCCAGAGUGAUGAGCUAGUCAUGCAUCAUGGACACAACUUGAAAGGAAUAGGGCUAAUGAUAUGGGCUUAAAGACAAAUCAUCGAAGUCUUGGACGUUAGGGCUAAUGAUAUGGGCUUAAAGACAAAUUAGUUAUAGGGCCUAUUUAGACCCAAUUAAUAUCUUGUACUUUUUGAUUUUGUUUUUUAUUUAGGCCCAUCAAAACAAGAUUUAAUAUCAAAUUAUUGCAAAUUCU